GCGAAAGCAUGGGGAGCGAACAGGAUUAGAUACCCUGGUAGUCCACGCAGUUAACGUUGUAUACUAGUUGUAUGGGGUAUCGAUCCCAUGUGUACAGUAGCAAAUGUCUUAAGUAUACCGCACUGGGGAGUAUGCCGGCUAUCGGUGGCACUCAAAGGAAUUGACGGGGGCCCGCACAAUCGGUGGAGCAUGUGGUUUAAUUCGAUGAUACGCGAAGAACCUUACCUGGGCUUGACAUGCUGGCCGAAUGAUAAGAGAUUAUCAGGCUCUUCGGAGGGCUAUUACAGUUGAAGCAUGCCUGUCGUCAGCUCGCCUCGUGAGAUGAUGGGUUAAGUCCCGCGACGAGCGCAACCCUCAUGGUUAGUUGCCACCGGGUAGAGCCGGGCACUCUAUACAUACUGCCGGACGUAACCCGGAGGAAGGUGGGCGAUGACGUCAAGUCCUCAUGGCCUUUAUGUCUAGGGGUACACACGUGCGUACAAUGCUCGGUACAACGAGGAGCGAGCCCGCGAGGUGAUCCAAUCUCAAUAUCCGAUCUAGUUCGACUGGAGUCUGAACUGACUCCAUAAGCUGUAUCGCUAGUAUACAACUCAGCACGCUCCGAUGAUACGCUCCCGGGCAUGUACACACCGCCAUCACACCACCCGACUUGAUU
RNAcentral lists this ribosomal RNA (655 nucleotides) under uncultured organism. Its description in RNAcentral is "bacterial SSU rRNA". It matches the Rfam family "Bacterial small subunit ribosomal RNA", at positions 753 to 1416 of the family's 1533-position model. The record is from RNAcentral.